GUACACUCCUGCGGGAGGCAGCAGUGGGGAAUUUUGGACAAUGGGCGAAAGCCUGAUCCAGCAAUGCCGCGUGAGUGAAGAAGGCCUUCGGGUUGUAAAGCUCUUUUGUCAGGGAAGAAACGGUGAGAGCUAAUAUCUUUUGCUAAUGACGGUACCUGAAGAAUAAGCACCGGCUAACUACGUGCCAGCAGCCGCGGUAAUACGUAGGGUGCAAGCGUUAAUCGGAAUUACUGGGCGUAAAGCGUGCGCAGGCGGUUUUGUAAGUCUGAUGUGAAAUCCCCGGGCUCAACCUGGGAAUUGCAUUGGAGACUGCAAGGCUAGAAUCUGGCAGAGGGGGGUAGAAUUCCACGUGUAGCAGUGAAAUGCGUAGAUAUGUGGAGGAACACCGAUGGCGAAGGCAGCCCCCUGGGUCAAGAUUGACGCUCAUGCACGAAAGCGUGGGGAGCAAACAGGAUUAGAAACCCGAGUAGUCCCA
RNAcentral lists this ribosomal RNA (475 nucleotides) under uncultured organism. RNAcentral's name for it is "partial 16S ribosomal RNA". It matches the Rfam family "Bacterial small subunit ribosomal RNA", at positions 331 to 797 of the family's 1533-position model. The record is from RNAcentral.